GCAUCAUUCUCUUCUCUAUUAACGAUUACAUUUUCCUUUACUUUGAUUAAAACAAAUGAAUGAAUACAUUUUUAAUUAUGAUGUCAUCUCAUUUGUUUCUAAUCAUGUCCAAUCUGAAAGGAACCAUUUCUCCAAAUGCUUAUGUAAAAAUGUUUAGCCAUUUCUGGUAAAAAAAGGAUAGUCAAAAUGGUAUCACUUCAUACUGGAUCACGGUACAACUAUAAGCUGUGGGGCUAUCUGGCACCGAUUUUUUUUAAUGGUACACGCUUUAUGAUCUCAUCAAUAUUCCUAGAAAUCACAGAAGCACUUGCUUAGUUAAAUAUGAUUUGUGCAUGCUCCUAGGCCUGCAUCUCGUAAAGCUACAUGUGUACGGUCAGAUACUUGUCUAUUUGGGAUUGGCUAGUCUUUUAAUUUAAUCGCCUUUGAUCUUUACUUCCAUUUAUUUUUUUCUGCAGUUCUUUACUUUGCGUGCUGAAAAAG
Molecule: long non-coding RNA, 480 nt
Filed under: Zea mays
Lineage: Eukaryota; Viridiplantae; Streptophyta; Magnoliopsida; Poales; Poaceae
Description: long non-coding RNA NONZMAT003902
Source: RNAcentral